Molecule: non-coding RNA, 46 nt
Filed under: Schistosoma mattheei
Lineage: Eukaryota; Metazoa; Platyhelminthes; Trematoda; Strigeidida; Schistosomatidae
Source: RNAcentral
GCACUACGGAGGAGUCCCAUACUAGGACGAAACGGCCGUCCAGUGC